UUAAGCGACUAAGCGUACACGGUGGAUGCCCUGGCAGUCAGAGGCGAUGAAGGACGUGCUAAUCUGCGAAAAGCGUCGGUAAGGUGAUAUGAACCGUUACAGCCGGCGAUGUCCGAAUGGGGAAACCCAGUGCAAUUCGUUGCACUAUCGUUAACUGAAUACAUAGGUUAACGAGGCGAACCGGGGGAACUGAAACAUCUAAGUACCCCGAGGAAAAGAAAUCAACCGAGAUUCCCCCAGUAGCGGCGAGCGAACGGGGAGCAGCCCAGAGUCUGAAUCAGCUUGUGUGUUAGUGGAACGGUCUGGAAAGUCCGACGGUACAGGGUGAUAGUCCCGUACACCAAAAUGCACAGGCUGUGAACUCGAAGAGUAGGGCGGGACACGUGGUAUCCUGUCUGAAUAUGGGGGGACCAUCCUCCAAGGCUAAAUACUCCUGACUGACCGAUAGUGAACCAGUACCGUGAGGGAAAGGCGAAAAGAACCCCGGCGAGGGGAGUGAAAAAAGAACCUGAAACCGUGUACGUACAAGCAGUGGGAGCACCUUCGGGUGUGACUGCGUACCUUUUGUAUAAUGGGGUCAGCGACUUAUAUUCUGUAGCAAGGUUAACCGUAUAGGGGAGCGCAGGGAAACCGAGUCUUAACUGGGCGUUAAGUUGCAGGGUAUAGACCCGAAACCCGGUGAUCUAGCCAUGGGCAGGUUGAAGGUUGGGUAACACUAACUGGAGGACCGAACCGACUAAUGUUGAAAAAUUAGCGGAUGACUUGUGGCUGGGGGUGAAAGGCCAAUCAAACCGGGAGAUAGCUGGUUCUCCCCGAAAGCUAUUUAGGUAGCGCCUCGUGAAUUCAUCUUCGGGGGUAGAGCACUGUUUCGGCUAGGGGGUCAUCCGACUUACCAACCCGAUGCAAACUACGAAUACCGAAGAAUGUUAUCACGGGAGACACACGGCGGGUGCUAACGUCCGUCGUGAAGAGGGAAACAACCCAGACCGCCAGCUAAGGUCCCAAAGUCAUGGUUAAGUGGGAAACGAUGUGGGAAGGCACAGACAGCCAGGAUGUUGGCUUAGAAGCAGCCAUCAUUUAAAGAAAGCGUAAUAGCUCACUGGUCGAGUCGGCCUGCGCGGAAGAUGUAACGGGGCUAAACCAUGCACCGAAGCUGCGGCAGCGACACUAUGUGUUGUUGGGUAGGGGAGCGUUCUGUAAGCCUGCGAAGGUGUGCUGUGAGGCAUGCUGGAGGUAUCAGAAGUGCGAAUGCUGACAUAAGUAACGAUAAAGCGGUGAAAAGCCCGCUCGCCGGAAGACCAAGGGUUCCUGUCCAACGUUAAUCGGGGCAGGGUGAGUCGACCCCUAAGGCGAGGCCGAAAGGCGUAGUCGAUGGGAAACAGGUUAAUAUUCCUGUACUUGGUGUUACUGCGAAGGGGGGACGGAGAAGGCUAUGUUAGCCGGGCGACGGUUGUCCCGGUUUAAGCAUGUAGGCUGGUUAUCCAGGCAAAUCCGGAUAAUCAAGGCUGAGGUGUGAUGACGAGGCACUACGGUGCUGAAGUAACAAAUGCCCUGCUUCCAGGAAAAGCCUCUAAGCAUCAGGUAACAUCAAAUCGUACCCCAAACCGACACAGGUGGUCAGGUAGAGAAUACCAAGGCGCUUGAGAGAACUCGGGUGAAGGAACUAGGCAAAAUGGUGCCGUAACUUCGGGAGAAGGCACGCUGGUGUGUAGGUGAAGUCCCUGCGGAUGGAGCUGAGACCAGUCGAAGAUACCAGCUGGCUGCAACUGUUUAUUAAAAACACAGCACUGUGCAAACACGAAAGUGGACGUAUACGGUGUGACGCCUGCCCGGUGCCGGAAGGUUAAUUGAUGGGGUUAUCCGUAAGGAGAAGCUCUUGAUCGAAGCCCCGGUAAACGGCGGCCGUAACUAUAACGGUCCUAAGGUAGCGAAAUUCCUUGUCGGGUAAGUUCCGACCUGCACGAAUGGCGUAAUGAUGGCCAGGCUGUCUCCACCCGAGACUCAGUGAAAUUGAACUCGCUGUGAAGAUGCAGUGUACCCGCGGCAAGACGGAAAGACCCCGUGAACCUUUACUAUAGCUUGACACUGAACAUUGAGCCUUGAUGUGUAGGAUAGGUGGGAGGCUUUGAAGCGUGGACGCCAGUCUGCGUGGAGCCAACCUUGAAAUACCACCCUUUAAUGUUUGAUGUUCUAACGUUGGCCCCUGACCGGGGUUGCGGACAGUGUCUGGUGGGUAGUUUGACUGGGGCGGUCUCCUCCCAAAGCGUAACGGAGGAGCACGAAGGUUAGCUAAUCCUGGUCGGACAUCAGGAGGUUAGUGCAAUGGCAUAAGCUAGCUUGACUGCGAGCGUGACGGCGCGAGCAGGUGCGAAAGCAGGUCAUAGUGAUCCGGUGGUUCUGAAUGGAAGGGCCAUCGCUCAACGGAUAAAAGGUACUCCGGGGAUAACAGGCUGAUACCGCCCAAGAGUUCAUAUCGACGGCGGUGUUUGGCACCUCGAUGUCGGCUCAUCACAUCCUGGGGCUGAAGUAGGUCCCAAGGGUAUGGCUGUUCGCCAUUUAAAGUGGUACGCGAGCUGGGUUUAGAACGUCGUGAGACAGUUCGGUCCCUAUCUGCCGUGGGCGCUGGAGAAUUGAGGGGGGCUGCUCCUAGUACGAGAGGACCGGAGUGGACGCAUCACUGGUGUUCGGGUUGUCAUGCCAAUGGCACUGCCCGGUAGCUAAAUGCGGAAGAGAUAAGUGCUGAAAGCAUCUAAGCACGAAACUUGCCCCGAGAUGAGUUCUCCCUGAGACUUUAAGUCUCCUGAAGGAACGUUAAAGACGAUGACGUUGAUAGGCCGGGUGUGUAAGCGCAGCGAUGCGUGAGCUAACCGGUACUAAUGAACCGUGAGGCUUAACCUU
Molecule: ribosomal RNA, 2898 nt
Filed under: Klebsiella pneumoniae subsp. pneumoniae
Lineage: Bacteria; Pseudomonadati; Pseudomonadota; Gammaproteobacteria; Enterobacterales; Enterobacteriaceae
Description: bacterial LSU rRNA
Rfam family: Bacterial large subunit ribosomal RNA
Source: RNAcentral